GAUGAACGCUGGCGGCGUGCCUAAUACAUGCAAGUCGAGCGAACAGACGAAGAUCUUGCUUGUAUGAAGUUACCGGCGGAUGGGUGAGUAACACGUGGAUAACUUGCAUAUAGGGAUGAGGUCACUUAGGGAAAGCGGAGAUAAUACCGGACAAGAGAUUGAACGGGAUGGUUCAAUAGAGCAAGACGGAUCUGCUGAGCCUAAUUGAUGGAACCGAGCCGCAUUAGCUAGUUGGUAGGGUAAAGGCCUACCAAGGCAACGAUGCGUAGCUGAUCUGAGAGGAUGAUCAGUCACACUGGAACUGAGACACGGUCCAGACUCCUACGGGAGGCAGCAGUGGGGAAUAUUCGACAAUGGGCGAAAGCCUGAUCCAGCCAUGCCGCGUGUGUGAAGAAGGUCUUCGGAUUGUAAAGCACUUUAAGUUGGGAAGAAGGGCUGUAUGUUAAUCUAUUGCUGUCUUGACGUUACCAACAGAAUAAGCCCCGGCUAACUUCGUG
RNAcentral lists this ribosomal RNA (497 nucleotides) under uncultured bacterium. Its description in RNAcentral is "partial 16S ribosomal RNA". It matches the Rfam family "Bacterial small subunit ribosomal RNA", at positions 28 to 507 of the family's 1533-position model. The record is from RNAcentral.